Molecule: ribosomal RNA, 468 nt
Filed under: uncultured bacterium
Lineage: Bacteria
Description: partial 16S ribosomal RNA
Rfam family: Bacterial small subunit ribosomal RNA
Source: RNAcentral
GACGAACGCUGGCGGCGUGCUUAACACAUGCAAGUCGAACGGAAAGGCCCUGCUUUUGUGGGGUGCUCGAGUGGCGAACGGGUGAGUAACACGUGAGUAACCUGCCCUUGACUUUGGGAUAACUUCAGGAAACUGGGGCUAAUACCGGAUAGGAGCUCCUGCUGCAUGGUGGUGGUUGGAAAGUUUCGGCGGUUGGGGAUGGACUCGCGGCUUAUCAGCUUGUUGGUGGGGUAGUGGCUUACCAAGGCUUUGACGGGUAGCCGGCCUGAGAGGGUGACCGGCCACAUUGGGACUGAGACACGGCCCAGACUCCUACGGGAGGCAGCAGUGGGGAAUAUUGCACAAUGGGCGGAAGCCUGAUGCAGCAACGCCGCGUGCGGGAGGACGGCCUUCGGGUUGUAAACCGCUUUCGCCUGUGACGAAGCGUGAGUGACGGUAAUGGGUAAAGAAGCAACGGCUAACUACGUG